AGACUUACCUGGCAGGGGAGAUACCAUGAUCACAAAGGUGGUUUUCCCAGGGUGAGGCUUAUCCAUUGCACUCCGGAUGUGCUGACCCCUGUGAUUUCCCCAAAUGCGGGAAACUCGACUGCAUAAUUUGUGGUAGUGGGGCACUGCAUUCGUGCUUUCCUCUG
Molecule: small nuclear RNA, 164 nt
Filed under: Octodon degus (degu)
Lineage: Eukaryota; Metazoa; Chordata; Mammalia; Rodentia; Octodontidae
Description: U1 spliceosomal RNA (ENSODEG00000021089.1)
Rfam family: U1 spliceosomal RNA
About the family: U1 is a small nuclear RNA (snRNA) component of the spliceosome (involved in pre-mRNA splicing).
Source: Rfam by way of RNAcentral